CCUUCGAUAGCUCAGUUGGUAGAGCGGAGGACUGUAGAUCCUUAGGUCGCUGGUUCAACUCCGGCUCGAAGGGA
Molecule: transfer RNA, 74 nt
Filed under: Merluccius polli (Benguela hake)
Lineage: Eukaryota; Metazoa; Chordata; Actinopteri; Gadiformes; Merlucciidae
Description: tRNA-Tyr
Rfam family: tRNA
About the family: Transfer RNA (tRNA) molecules are approximately 80 nucleotides in length. Their secondary structure includes four short double-helical elements and three loops (D, anti-codon, and T loops).
Source: RNAcentral